UACGUGGGGUGCAAGCGUUGUCCGGAAUUAUUGGGCGUAAAGAGCUCGUAGGCGGUUUGUUGCGUCGGCUGUGAAAUCCCGAGGCUCAACCUCGGGUCUGCAGUGGGUACGGGCAGACUAGAGUGCGGUAGGGGAGACUGGGAUUCCUGGUGUAGCGGUGAAAUGCGCAGAUAUCAGGAGGAACACCGGUGGCGAAGGCGGGUCUCUGGGCCGUAACUGACGCUGAGACGCGAAAGCGUGGGGAGCAAACAGG
This 253-nucleotide ribosomal RNA is filed under the name uncultured bacterium. Its description in RNAcentral is "partial 16S ribosomal RNA". It matches the Rfam family "Bacterial small subunit ribosomal RNA", at positions 524 to 776 of the family's 1533-position model. The record is from RNAcentral.